This 6874-nucleotide long non-coding RNA is filed under the name Salmo salar (Atlantic salmon). RNAcentral's name for it is "lncRNA (ENSSSAG00000094173.1)". Lineage: Eukaryota; Metazoa; Chordata; Actinopteri; Salmoniformes; Salmonidae. The record is from RNAcentral.
AAUGAAACAAUGAACUUGACAGAACUGAGCUGCGAAGUAAGCAGUGUCCAGUUUUCUUUCUUGGGGGCGCUUAUGAUUAUGGUCGAGCCCACAGUAUCGGACACUUACUCUGCAUUUCUCCAUUACACAAUGCAGGAGUUCGUUGGUGCCCUUUGGCUCUUACAGAAUCCAGACAAAAUCAGAGAGUUUCUACAGAAGUGCCAGACUGAAGAAUGGAAACACACAAAACACAUGGUUCCUUUCAUGUGUGGGCUUCUGAAUGAGAGGAAUAUUCGAUUGGUAAAUGGUCUUGUUCCAGCUCAACAGAUCAAGGAGACGUCAGAUUGGUUCUUCAAGGAAGUGGUGAACACAUUUCUUCCACUUCAAACAAACCAAGAUCAUGCAGAAGGUGGUGCUCCUGAGUUUGAGGUAGAUCUUCUGUUUUUAUGUCAGUGCUUGUAUGAAUCUCAGUCUACUGAGGCCUGUUUGCUUCUUCUGGACAAACUGGACUACAAUCUACACCUGGAUGAAGAACAUCUUGAUCCUCACCAGUGCUGUGCAGUCUCCUAUAUGAUCAGUCAGUCUGCAGAGAGAAAGGUUGACUUGGACCUGAACAGCUGCACUGUGUCAGACCAAGGACUAAGGCUGAUACUGGGCUCUCUGAAGAAUGUCCGAUAUCUCAGAUCUGACCCCUCAAUGCUGUGUCAACUCUGGACAACUUUGCUGAGCGGUGAGGCAGACAUUGACUUCACCAGCUUGCUUGGUCUCUGUGGAAAUGAGUUGCGCCUUCCAUUCCUGGGUGAAAGACGAGUGUUUGAGAGAGCAGAAGAAGUGAUGAAGCAGAGCCUGGAGAGGGUUAACCUCUGUCUACACUGGGAUCGGACAACUCUUCUCAGUGAAGCUCUCAGCAAGACCAUUUUAAAGUGUUUAACACAUAUCAACAAACUCAGUUUUAACCCACUACAUAAUCAGAGAGGAUCCCCUGAAAAACUAGAGAAAGAACAGAAAGCAGUCCUACUAAAUUUGUGUCUACAAGCCGCACUUUAUCACAGAGAAACGUUCCAGGGAGCUGUGAACACACUGCUGUCACUCUUCUCUGUGUAUCAAACUGAGAGAUAUGACAUCCUGCUGGAUCUGUACUCACAUGUGAAGGACUAUGAGACUCAAACAGGCAGGAGUGUCCUUCCAUCAUUGAGGCCACUUUAUCAGUCAGCUCCUGCAGUCUGGUCCAUAGACCUCUCAGAGAGAAAAGCCUCCCUCCUCCUAGAAGUGCUGAAACUCGAACCAGAUAAAAAAUCUGUCGAGCUGAAAGGCUGGUCAGACAAAGAGAGUGAAGUGAGGAGUUUCCUUCAGUGUCUGCCCUACAUCUCACAGCUGAGUUUUACUUCACCACAGGAUCAGAGAAGAUCCCCUGAAGAGUGGAGAAAGAGAGAGAAGACAUUCCUACUGAAUCUGUGUCUUCAAGCAGCCCUCCAUGCGAGAGAACACAUACAAACAACUGUAGAGAAAGUGUUUUCAUUGUCUGAAGUUUAUCAUGAUCGGAAAUGGGAUUUCCUGCUGGAUCUGUACUCACAUGUGAAGGACUAUGAGACUGAAACAGGCAGGAGUGUCCUUCCAGCAUUACAGCCAGUUUACCAGUCAGCUCCUGCAGUCUGGUCCAUAGACCUCUCAGAGAGAAAGGCCUCCCUCCUCCUAGAAGUGCUGAAACUCCAACCAGAGAAGAAACCAGUAGAGCUGGAAGGCUUGUCAGAUGAAGAGAGUGAAGUGAGGAGUUUCCUUCAGUGUCUGCCCUACAUCUCACAGCUGAGUUUUACUUCACCACAGGAUCAGAGUAGAUCCCAUGAAGAGUGGAGAAAGAGAGAGAAGACAUUCCUACUGAAUCUGUGUCUUCAAGCAGCCCUCCAUGCGAGAGAACACAUACAAACAACUGUAGAGAAAGUGUUUUCAUUGUCUGAAGUUUAUCAUGAUCGGAAAUGGGAUCUCCUGCUGGAUCUGUACUCACAUGUGAAGGACUAUGAGACUCAAACAGGCAGGAAUGUCCUUCCAGCAUUACAGCCAGUUUACCAGUCAGCUCCUGCAGUCUGGUCCAUAGACCUCUCAGAGAGAAAGGCCUCCCUCCUCCUAGAAGUGCUGAAACUCCAACCAGAGAAGAAACCAGUAGAGCUGGAAGGCUUGUCAGAUGAAGAGAGUGAAGUGAGGAGUUUCCUUCAGUGUCUGCCCUACAUCUCACAGCUGAGUUUCUAUCCAUGGUGGUCUGACAACUCAAAGCUGAUCAAGUUCCUGGUGGGUCUCCUGUCUCAAGCAGCAGAGUGGGAGGAGCAGUCAGGAGAGAAGACACUGAAGCUGCUAUCAUCAGUGUUUACUUACAGCACUUUCCCUCUCUAUGACUGGGAUGAUUAUCAUAAGUGGUUUCAAUGUGAUUUCCUGCUGGAUCUGUGCUCACAUGUGAAGGACUAUGAGACUCAAACAGGCAGAAGUGUCCUUCCAGUAUUACAGCCAGUUUACCAGUCAGCUCCUGCGGUCUGGUACAUAGACCUCUCAGAGAGAAAGGCCUCCCUCCUCCUAGACGUGCUGAAACUCCAACCAGAGAAGAAACCAGUAGAGCUGAUGAAGUGGUCAGAUGAAGAGAGUGAAGUGAGGAGUUUCCUUCAGUGUCUGCCUUACAUCUCACAGCUGAGUUUUACUUCACCACAGGAUCAGAGUAGAUCCCAUGAAGAGUGGAGAAAGAGAGAGAAGACAUUCCUACUGAAUCUGUGUCUUCAAGCAGCCCUCCAUGAGAGAGGAACCAUACAAACAACUGUAGAGAAAGUGUUGUCACUGUCUGAAGUUUAUCACGAUCGGAAAUGGGAUCUCCUGCUGGAUCUGUACUCACAUGUGAAGGACUAUGAGACUGAAACAGGCAGGAGUGUCCUUCCAGCAUUACAGCCAGUUUACCAGUCAGCUCCUGCAGUCUGGUCCAUAGACCUCUCAGAGAGAAAGGCCUCCCUCCUCCUGGAAGUGCUGAAACUCCAACCAGAGAAGAAACCAGUAGAGCUGGAAGGCUUGUCAGAUGAAGAGAGUGAAGUGAGGAGUUUCCUUCAGUGUCUGCCUUACAUCUCACAGCUGAGGCUGAAUGUGGGCAUGGCAGUGAGACUGGCCAGACUGGCUAGGAGGACAGGGAGAGGGGGUACUCCACUGACUGUCCCAGAACUCUCCCUGGUCCUAAAGAGCAGCCAGCCACCAGAGAGAGUGUUAUCCAGAGCUCUGAGUAGUGUGGCGUCCCUGCUGAGAUUCUGGAGGGUUCAGUGUCUGGACCUGACUGACUUCUGCAUCCAGGGUCACUCUCUCAUCACACUGCUGUGUCACCAGGACCCUCACACUCUCAGACUGAACUCAGACACUCUGCAGCAGCUGGCUGUGGCUGUGUAUGAAGCUCAGGACAAGGACUUGACUCAGUGGUUCCUGGAGAAGGUUGGUGGAGACCUGACCUCCUGCAGGCUGGACUGGGACGUGCUUCUCUCUCUGCUGCAGCAUUCAACCCACAACAUCACAGUGGACCUCAGGAAGAACAGGCUUCUAGAGAAGAACAUCUCAGAUCUUCUCCCCUUUCUGGGAAGGGUUAUAUUCAAGAGGCUCAGUUCCAGCUUUGUGAAGUCCACCAUCAGACAGAUCUAUGACAGUAGAGACAGUGACUGUGUGUCCAGUUUGUUGAGGUCUUCAGACCAUUGGAUCAACCUGAACAGCAGAGAGCUGGACAGAGUGGACUGUACUGCUCUGUGUUUCACCCUGCAGCACAGCCACCAAGUCAAAGUCAACCUGCUGUGGACCUCCAUACCACCGGGGGAGAUAGAGAGCAUCCUGCCUCUUCUGGACAGAGUCUCCCAACUCAGGUUUAGUUGGCACUCUUUGACCAUUUUAGAAUGGAUAGAACUAUGGUGCUUUACACUGUCUGACUCUGAUUUUAACCACUAACCCUAACCUUAGUGUAAUGCACUUACCUUACCCUCAGGGGUGGAAUUGAAGGGGAACACGUGGGAGUUGAUGUGAUACACAGAGUUGUAGUGUGUUUUAUCAGUGUUUUAUUGUGUGCUGGUGUGUAAAUAAUCCUGUCUCUCUCUCUCUCUCUCUCCCUCCUGCUGUAGUGUUGACAGGAAGCUGUUGCUGAGUUUCCUCCACUCCUGCGCUGCCUCUCAGAUCCUACAGGGGGCACUAUCACCACCACCAACAAUAACAACAACAGCAGCAGAGCUGCUCAGGGCUCUGCAGCACAGGUUGGACUUCUCCUGCUCCUCCUCUGUGGACCUGUCAGCUCACGACCAGGGGGAGGCGCUGUGUCUGACCACUGACCACUGUAGGGCCAUAAACUCUGUUCUGAAGCAGAGCCAACACAGCACACGGCUGGUUCAGAACCCGACCCGGAACCAGUCCCGAAACCAGCCCCAGGUGCAACUCAUCCUUAAAGACUGUGAGGUGGAGCAUGGAGCACUGAGAGAGCUGCUUCCCAUCUUGCAUAUUGUCAAGCUGAGCCCCAGCAAAGCUCUGCUACUUCAGCUGCUGGACCAUGUGUGUGAGGGGAUUGAAGAGGGGGUUCUGAAGCACGCAGAGUCCCUGUGCAGAGCCCUGGAUGGGGAGCUGGACCUCAGUAAGACCAGGCUGAACCAGAAGGCCUGUGGAUCUCUGGCCCUGGUUCUGGAACACUCAGAGGGGCUGUCAGAACUGUACCUCAACCACUGCCAACUCACAGACCACCACCUACAGCCCCUGCUCACACACCUGCACAAAGUUGAAGUCCUGGACCUGAGUCACAAUGACAUCACUGAUGCUCUGACCGACAGAAUACUCCAAUUGGUCUCUACCAACACUUCAAUACGCACCGUACGGCUCUUCAACAACAGAAUCAACGACAGAAGUCCGUUCCUGACAGACAAGAGGUUUGAGAUCUGGUGAAGCAGCAUCAGGUCCAAGUCCAGACAGAGGAAGAGAAGAUGGAUGUUGAAGAAGAGAAGAUGGAUGUUGAAGAAGAGAAGAUGGAUGUUGAAGAUGGGUGUAGUAGCUACGAAGCCUCGGCAGGGUGAGACUAGAGGGACUUUUCUGACCAGCAUCCCAUCAACCUUGACCCUAACUGUAACCUGAUUUUAACCAAUUCUUAAAUAUUGAUUUGCAUGUCAGCCACAUCCCCUUAGUUUUUAGCUGACCUCAUCAUGGUGUCAGACGAACGGCAAGUGAUUAUGGGGCUAAGGUAUUGUAAAAAUAGUUGAGACUCCAGAACUCUGGAAUGUUCUGAGUGUAAUGGAUAGGAAUGUGUAGUUCUAUUUACCUCUUACAUGGUUCUUAAACACACAGGAACAUGUGUAGUAUAACGUUUUUUGAGCUUUACUUAACUUGAUGAUUUUUGUGAUCAGUCAAUUUGUGAAAUUCCAUCAGAAGGAAUAGAUUGUAUAUGCAUUUCUAUAGUCUAGUAUUUAUCAGGUGGAUGGGAAUGUGUUCUACAGUUGCAAUGGGAGCCUUAAUACAUGAGUGUUUUGUUGCAGGUCAACUGCAUGGUAUUGUGUUACUCAGGCUAGCCUUGUUGUGGACCAAGCUUCCCUAUUCAGGAAGCCAGAGGUGUGUUGAGUUCGCUUGAACGUUUGCUACGUUGUGCAACGGUUUGUACUGAAUGACACGUUUCCCCAAAAUGUUUUUGAACAGACUUCGAGGUACAUUUGGUGGGUGUGGCGAGGUGUGGCUUGAAGCAAUGAGUGACAUAUUUUUAUUUUUAAAGGGCAGUGGCCAUGCUGACAGCAUUCUCCAACCCACAACCCAACCCUUCCCCAUUUUUCAACUGGUUGUUCAGUACAUCACCGUUUCCGUACAAUUGAACCGUUUCAGAAUGUAAAAACAUACUGAUCGCAGCCCUGGUGAAGUCCAUGGUAGAAAGUAACUACAAGUGUGGUGGAAACCAUUGAAGCCUCGCAACACGUCAAACCAAUCAAUUGCCUUGCUUUGGCCGAGCACUAAAGGUGCCCACUAGUGCCGUAGGAGCAACAGUGUGAGUGGAUGCCCAGGAAGUUGCUGAUGUAUAACAUAGCCUUUAUGUACACAUACCAUAACAAAAUGUAUUUAGUAGAGCAGUUGUAAUACCUUCAUCGACUUGUGAAGAACAUUACACGCAGCUUCCCUUUUAGGGGCAUGUGGGGGAGGUUUCUUGAAAUAUAACAUCCAAUCAAAAUGUAGCCGCUGGAACCUAGCAGACCAUUCUAACUGUUUUGGCUAAUACAAAAUUCUCCAGACCUCCAAAGGAGGCAUGACAACAAUGUGAUUUUGGAGGUAUGGCUACAUGAGACUAGUACAAGCCUUUCUCAUAUCAAAACAGACAAACUAUAAGAAAUAAUAUAUGAAUAUUUUGUGUUUUUAAUAAAUGUACCUUGAGGCCCAUGAUUGGUUUUUGACUGUGGUCUCUUCAGGUUGAAAUCAUUACUAGUAAAUCCUAAAUAAUCUGUUUCAAGUUAAUGCUGGUAUUAAAGCGAUCCCAUCCCACGUGUAUUUAUUUUCAUGAAAGUUUAAGUUGAGAGCUUAGCACUAUGGACCAGCAGAUGGGGUUGCUUCAGAGAGCCUUGACUGGGGUUAGAACCUACAGCCAUGCUUCAGAGAGCCUUGACUGUGGUUAGAACCUACAACCAUGCUUCAGAGAGCCUUGGCUGGGGUUAGAACCUACAACCAUGCUUCAGGGAGCCUUGACUGGGGUUGGAACCUACAACCAUGCUUCAGAGAGCCUUGACUGGGGUUGGAACAUACAACCAUGCUUCAGAGAGCCUUGACUGGGGUUGGAACAUACAACCAUGCUUCAGAGAGCCUUGACUGGAGUUGGAACAUACAGCCAUGCUUCAGAGAGCCUUGACUGGGGUUAGAACCUACAACCAUGCUUCAGAGAGCCUUG